RNAcentral lists this ribosomal RNA (425 nucleotides) under uncultured bacterium. RNAcentral describes it as "partial 16S ribosomal RNA". It matches the Rfam family "Bacterial small subunit ribosomal RNA", at positions 354 to 796 of the family's 1533-position model. The record is from RNAcentral.
GUGGGGAAUAUUGGGCAAUGGGCGAAAGCCUGACCCAGCAACGCCGCGUGAAGGAAGAAGGUUUUCGGAUCGUAAACUUCUAUCCUUGGUGAAGAUAAUGACGGUAGCCGAGAAGGAAGCCCCGGCUAACUACGUGCCAGCAGCCGCGGUAAUACGUAGGGGGCAAGCGUUGUCCGGAAUGCUUGGGCGUAAAGGGCGCGUAGGCGGCCUGGUAAGUCUGGAGUGAAAGUCCUGCUUUUAAGGUGGGAAGUGCUUUGGAUACUGUCGGGCUUGAGUGCAGGAGAGGUAAGUUGAAUUCCCGGUGUAGCGGUGAGAUGCGUAGAGAUCGGGAGGAACACCAGUGGCGAAGGCGACUUACUGGACUGUAACUGACGCUGAGGCGCGAAAGUGUGGGGAGCAAACAGGAUUAGAUACCCGGGUAGUCC